Non-coding RNA from Pelobates cultripes (western spadefoot toad), 228 nucleotides. NCBI's taxonomy places the organism in Eukaryota, Metazoa, Chordata, Amphibia, Anura, Pelobatidae. The record is from the annotation of a GenBank genome assembly.
GUUCAUAACCACAUGGUUCAAACAUCUCGAGACAUUACGUCAAGCAGCUUGUCAAUUAAGGGAAGUAAACACAUUUCUAAUGUUAUUAUUUCAUUAACAAAACUCGCUUGCACCAAUGUUUGACAAUUAAUUGGCUUCCAUAUUUCUGAAACCAGAGUGUAUGUGCUUCUUACCAAAUAAUACACUUUGUAAAACAUUCACACUUUAACCACUACGAUUUAAUGCAAC